Nannospalax galili (Upper Galilee mountains blind mole rat) is the source of this 107-nucleotide small nuclear RNA. NCBI's taxonomy places the organism in Eukaryota, Metazoa, Chordata, Mammalia, Rodentia, Spalacidae. The record is from Ensembl.
GUGCUUGCUUUGGCAGCACAUGUUCUAAAAUUAGAAUACUUCAGGGAAGAUUAGCAUCUCUCUUGUACAAGAAUGACAUGCGAAUUCAUGAAGUAUUCCGUAUUUUU